This 112-nucleotide small RNA is filed under the name Marmota monax (woodchuck). Lineage: Eukaryota; Metazoa; Chordata; Mammalia; Rodentia; Sciuridae. The record is from RNAcentral.
GCAGGGUAUGGGAGUGCACUCCUGUAAUCCCAGCUACUUGGGAGGCUAAGGCAGAAGGAUCACUUGAGCCCAGGAGUUUGAAGCCAACCUAAGCAACAUAGCAAGAUCCUGU